RNAcentral lists this ribosomal RNA (274 nucleotides) under uncultured bacterium. Its description in RNAcentral is "partial 16S ribosomal RNA". It matches the Rfam family "Bacterial small subunit ribosomal RNA", at positions 523 to 796 of the family's 1533-position model. The record is from RNAcentral.
CUACGGAGGGUGCAAGCGUUACUCGGAAUCACUGGGCGUAAAGCGCGCGCAGGCGGCUUGAUAAGUUGGAUGUGAAAGCCUACGGCUCAACCGUAGAACUGCAUCCAAAACUGUCAAGCUAGAGUCUGGGAGGGGAAGAUGGAAUUAGUUGUGUAGGGGUAAAAUCCGUAGAGAUAACUAGGAAUACCAAAAGCGAAGGCAAUCUUCUGGAACACUACUGACGCUGAGGCGCGAAGGCGUGGGGAGCAAACAGGAUUAGAAACCCGGGUAGUCC